This 551-nucleotide ribosomal RNA is filed under the name uncultured Acaulospora. RNAcentral's name for it is "SSU rRNA". It matches the Rfam family "Eukaryotic small subunit ribosomal RNA", at positions 548 to 1098 of the family's 1831-position model. Lineage: Eukaryota; Fungi; Glomeromycota; Glomeromycetes; Diversisporales; Acaulosporaceae. The record is from RNAcentral.
UUGGAGGGCAAGUCUGGUGCCAGCAGCCGCGGUAAUUCCAGCUCCAAUAGCGUAUAUUAAAGUUGUUGCAGUUAAAAAGCUCGUAGUUGAAUUUCGGAAUCUGUCCUUUGGUCGGGCUUCACUGUCCGUACUGGUGUGAUGGGUUUCUACCUUCUGAAUAACCGGCAUGUCAUUAAUUUGGUGCGCCGGGGAAGCAGAACUAUUACCUUGAAAAAAUUAGAGUGCUUAAAGCAGGCUAUCGCCUGAAUAGAUUAGCAUGGAAUAAUAAAAUAGGACGGCAUGGUUCUAUUUUGUCGGUUUCUAGGAUCACCGUAAUGAUUAAUAGGGAUAGUUGGGGGCAUUAGUAUUCAAUUGUCAGAGGUGAAAUUCUUGGAUUUAUUGAAGACUAACUUCUGCGAAAGCAUUUGCCAAGGAUGUUUUCAUUAAUCAAGAACGAAAGUUAGGGGAUCGAAGACGAUCAGAUACCGUCGUAGUCUUAACCAUAAACUAUGCCGACUAGGGAUCGGACGAUGUUAAUUUUUUAAUGACUCGUUCGGCGCCUUACGGGAAAC